AGGCAUUAAAAUAGAUUAAUCUAUCGAAACGUGCUUUGGAACGCGUCGGUGCGACGAGCGUUUGAUUCAGUUUGAUUGCGAUUUUUCUAGAAAGUAUGAAUAACUUUGAGCGACAAUACUAUGAAACAAGUUGGUUUGCUCCUAGUAAUACAGGAGAAAAUAGUGAAAAUGGUUAAAUGCAUAACAACAUGAACUGGAAUGAAAAAUAACUGCAAUCAUGAUUCUAAAAUUGAUCAGAAAGAAAAUAACUCAGAAAUAUGACUUGAAAUUUAAAGUAGUACAGAACUGAAAAGUGGUUGAAUAAGUUUAUGAAUGUAAUCAAUUUCGAUGAUCCGCUAUAUGCAAAAAAGAACAUUUAUAUGUACUCCCGUUUUGAAAUCAAAUAUUUUACAGUUAUGCAAAAAAUGCAGCAUACAACGGAAAACAUUUACAAUGAAAAGUUGCGCUAAAAAAAAUAAGAUGCAAAGUGAUUGUAAUCAUCUUUGAGGAAUUGAAUUCUGUUUGGUGAAAGAUUUGUGGUACAUUCAAACAGUACUAAAAGGUUUAAUAAACUUUAUUGGACUAGAUGCUGUUACGUGAUUAAAAUAUAAUACGAAAUUGUGCUAAUGCAAACAAGUUUAAACAGAUGUUUAAAAAGUAUAUAUGUAAAUGAAACUUAAAAUAUUUAUCAUACUUCAACAAUGUAUCUUCCACAGAAUAUUUACAUGCUAAUAAAAAUAU
Molecule: long non-coding RNA, 720 nt
Organism: Colletes gigas
Lineage: Eukaryota; Metazoa; Arthropoda; Insecta; Hymenoptera; Colletidae
Exons: 7
Source: RefSeq, a predicted model, not a curated record